This 256-nucleotide non-coding RNA is filed under the name Maribacter litoralis. The record is from RNAcentral. RNAcentral also lists the same sequence under 1 other name. Lineage: Bacteria; Pseudomonadati; Bacteroidota; Flavobacteriia; Flavobacteriales; Flavobacteriaceae.
ACUUUCGCCGUGAAUUUUGGUUUUCAUUGCCUUGGUAAUGAAAUUAAAAGGGAAUCUGGUGAAAAUCCGGAACUGUUCCCGCAACUGUAAGUUUAUUUCAAACGAUUUUAUUGGCGAAUAGAAUCUGUUGGUUACUUCUUUUAGAAGGUGCUAUUUACUGCAAAGCCACUUUGUGAUCCAAACCGGUUUGGAUAUCAUGGGAAGGCAAAAUAGUAUUAAACAAGUCAGGAGACCUGCCUGGUUCAAACAAACAAUG